UAACAAGGUAAACAUUAGCUGUGGGCCAUUGGUGGCCAACGGGUGAAUAGCACGUGGGCACUCUGCCCUGCACUCUGGGACGGGCCCUGGAAACGGGGACCAAUACCGGAUACUGACUACGACGGGCAUCCGAGAGCAGGGGAUGUUCCGGCCUUGCGCGAUGAACCGACCCGAUGUCAGAUUGUUUAUGAGGUGGGGGAUCGGCCCACCAACGACAGGAUCCCUGCCUGGUCUGACAAGAGGACCCGCCGCACUGGAACUGAGACCCGGACCCCACUCCUACGGGAGGCAGCGGAGGGGAAUAUUGGACAAUGGGCGCUGGCCUGAUCCAGCCAUACGGCGUGGGAGAAGAAUGCCUUCGGGUUGUAAAGCCCUUUUGUUGGAAAAGAAAUCCAGCCGGCUAAUACCUGAUUGGGAUGACAACUCCCAAAGAAUAAGCACCGGCUAACUUCGUGCCAGAGCCCGCGGUAAUACUAAGGGUGCAAGCGUUACUCGGAAUUACUGGGCGUAAAGCGUGCGAAAGUGGUUAUUUAAGUCCCUUGUGAAAGCCCUGUACUCAACCUGGGAACUGCAGUGGAUACUGGAUGACUAGAAUGUGUUAGAGGGUAGCGGAAUUCCUGGUGUGGAACACAAAUGCGUAAAGGUCAAGAGGAACAUCCAUGCUGAAGGCAACUACCUGGACCAACAUUAGCACUGAGGCACGAAACCCUGGGGAGCAAACAGGAUUACUACCCUGGUAGUCCACGGCCUACACUAUGCGAACUGCGUGUUGGGUGCAAUUUGUUACGUACUAUCCCAGCUGACGCGUUACGUUCGGCUACUGGGGAGUGCGGUCGCAGAGUCCACUCAAAGGAUGAACGGGGGCCUGCACAAGCGCAGCAGUAUGUAGCUUAUUCGACGCGACGUGCAGAGCAUACCUGGGCUAGACGUGUCCACUACUUGCCAGAGUGAUUGGUGCAUCGGGAACUCAACUCUGUGCUGCAUGCUGUCUCAUCUCGUGUCGGAGCGUGGUUAGUCGCUGCACGACGCACCGUGUCUAGGUACUCACACGAACGGUGGGAUCUACUAGGAGACAGCGGUGACCACGCAGUACUAGGGGCUUAUGUCAUGUGCUCUUGACCGUA
Molecule: ribosomal RNA, 1124 nt
Filed under: Stenotrophomonas maltophilia
Lineage: Bacteria; Pseudomonadati; Pseudomonadota; Gammaproteobacteria; Lysobacterales; Lysobacteraceae
Description: bacterial SSU rRNA
Rfam family: Bacterial small subunit ribosomal RNA
Source: RNAcentral